Molecule: long non-coding RNA, 241 nt
Filed under: Elaeis guineensis (African oil palm)
Lineage: Eukaryota; Viridiplantae; Streptophyta; Magnoliopsida; Arecales; Arecaceae
Description: long non-coding RNA (EGUI_LNC082902)
Source: RNAcentral
CCUCCUUUUUCUCUUCUUCUAACUAAGAUUUUUACUUUCUAUAUUUCUCCAUUUUCAUCUACUAUUUAUUGCCUUCUCCAAAACCUGUACCAAUUUGUACAUCCUCUUCUAGAUGUUUAGAGAAGAGAUAAGUAUGUAGGCAUAGCAUGAUUUAAAAAAUUUUAUAAUUUGAAUGGACUAUUGUGUAAGAGAAAUUUAACCUGCGUAGCAUAUACUCCAUAUACAUAACUUGCUUCUCAAG